Molecule: ribosomal RNA, 1324 nt
Filed under: metagenome
Description: bacterial LSU rRNA
Rfam family: Bacterial large subunit ribosomal RNA
Source: RNAcentral
AGUGGAUGGGGAGCAACCUAGUUGUGCGUGUGUAAAGGUAGUGCCAAGAAAAGCGGUGAUCAUGAUGAAAAUCAAUUCCCGGUACCCGAAACCGACACAGGUGGGCAAGUAGAGAAUACUAAGGGGCGCGAGGUAACUCUCUCCAAGGAACUCGGCAAAAUGACCCCGUAACUUAGGGAGAAGGGGUGCCACCGAGAGGUGGUCGCAGUGAAGAGGCCCAGGCGACUGUUUAGCAAAAACAUAGGUCUCUGCAAACUCGAAAGAGGAGGUAUAGGGGCUGACGCCUGCCCAGUGCCGGAAGGUUAAAGAAGUUGGUCAGUCUUAGGAUAAAGCUAGCGACUGAAGCCCCGGUGAACGGCGGCCGUAACUAUAACGGUCCUAAGGUAGCGAAAUUCCUUGUCGGGUAAGUUCCGACCCGCACGAAAGGCGUAACGAUCUGGGCGCUGUCUCGGAGAGAGGCUCGGCGAAAUAGGAUUGUCUGUGAAGAUACGGACUACCUGCAUUUGGACAGAAAGACCCUAUGAAGCUUUACUAUAGCUUGGAAUUGUGUUCGGGCUUCCUGUGCGCAGGAUAGGUGGGAGGCGUAGAAGGUAUUCUUGUGGGGAUACUGGAGCCAACGGUGAGAUACCACUCUCAGGAGGCUAGAAUUCUAACUUAAUUAAGGACAGUUUCAGGUGGGUAGUUUGACUGGGGCGGUCGCCUCCAAAAAGGUAACGGAGGCGUACAAAGGUUCCCUCAGACUGGUUGGAAAUCAGUCGCAGAGUGCAAAGGCAGAAGGGAGCUUGACUGCGAGAAGUACAGUUCGAGCAGGGUGGAAACACGGUCUUAGUGAUCCGACGGUGCUGUGUGGAAGGGCCGUCGCUCAACGGAUAAAAGUUACUCUAGGAUAACAGGCUGAUCUCCCCCAAGAGUUCACAUCGACGGGGAGGUUUGGCACCUCGAUGUCGGCUCAUCGCAACCUGGGGCGGAAGUACGUCCCAAGGGUUGGGCUGUUCGCCCAUUAAAGCGGUACGUGAGCUGGGUUCAGAACGUCGUGAGACAGUUCGGUCCAUAUCCGAUGUAGGCGUGAGAAUAUUGAGAGGAGCCUUCCUUAGUACGAGAGGACCGGGAAGGACGCACCGCUGGUGUACCUGUUAUGAUGCCAAUUGUAAACGCAGGGUAGCCAAGUGCGGAGAGGAUAACCGCUGAAAGCAUCUAAGUGGGAAGCCCACCUCAAGAUGAGUAUUCUGGUGUAAGGUCACGGGAAGACGACCCGUAAAUAGGCACGAGGUGGAAGUGCAGAGAUGUAUGAAGCCGAAGUGUACUAAUAGACCGUCGGCUUGAC